GGUGGUUCAGUGGUAGAGUGCUUGCCUUGCAUGCAUGAGGCCCUGGGUUCAAUUCCUAAGCACCA
RNAcentral lists this transfer RNA (65 nucleotides) under Dipodomys ordii (Ord's kangaroo rat). It matches the Rfam family "tRNA". Rfam says of the family: Transfer RNA (tRNA) molecules are approximately 80 nucleotides in length. The record is from Rfam by way of RNAcentral. Lineage: Eukaryota; Metazoa; Chordata; Mammalia; Rodentia; Heteromyidae.